GACGAACGCUGGCGGCGUGCUUAACACAUGCAAGUCGAACGGAAAGGCCCUGCUUUUGUGGGGUGCUCGAGUGGCGAACGGGUGAGUAACACGUGAGUAACCUGCCCUUGACUUUGGGAUAACUUCAGGAAACUGGGGUUAAUACCGGAUAGGAGCUCCUGCUGCAUGGUGGGGGUUGGAAAGUUUCGGCGGUCGGGGAUGGACGCGCGGCUUAUCAGCUUGUUGGUGGGGUAGUGGCUUACCAAGGCUUUGGCGGGUAGCCGGCCUGGGAGGGUGACCGGCCACAUUGGUACUGCGAUACGGCCCAGACUCCUACGGGGGGCAGCAGUGGGGAAUAUUGCACAGUGGGCGGAAGCCUGAUGCAGCAACGCCGCGUGCGGGAUGACGGCCUUCGGGUUGUAAACCGCAUUCGCCUGUGACGAAGCGUGAGUGACGGUACUGGGUAAAGAAGCACCGGCUAACUACGUG
Molecule: ribosomal RNA, 468 nt
Filed under: uncultured bacterium
Lineage: Bacteria
Description: partial 16S ribosomal RNA
Rfam family: Bacterial small subunit ribosomal RNA
Source: RNAcentral